This is a long non-coding RNA of Lolium rigidum, 355 nucleotides long. RefSeq lists it as uncharacterized. NCBI's taxonomy places the organism in Eukaryota, Viridiplantae, Streptophyta, Magnoliopsida, Poales, Poaceae. The record is from RefSeq and is a predicted model, not a curated record. The transcript is spliced from 2 exons.
UCUUGACAAAAUAUAUUUAUUGUAGAUGUGUGUCACAGCCUGUCAAAGAUGUGGCAGCCUCGCAGGUGCAGCUGACAAGAAAAACAACCCUUAGACCGUACAAAUUUCAGCUUCACAUUAGGUGCCACAAACCACUGAUAUUUGUUUGCUUCAUGUUAUCUACCUACCGUUGGAUCUGAGGAUUGUGUUCCUCACUUUUGUUGUGGUAUUGUACAUAUAAAUCAAGCGUAUGAUGCAAUGGCUGUAUAUCUGAGUGCUUUUGCUUUAUGCUGCUAUCAGUUGCGUAGUUAUGUAGUUUCUUUUGUCUUGCGGCGUGCUUUCUCAGAAAAAACGACAUGUGUUUAUUCCCAUUUCA